GCUUGAGUGUGGUAGGGGCAGAGGGAAUUCCCGGUGUAGCGGUGAAAUGCGUAGAUAUCGGGAAGAACACCAGUGGCGAAGGCGCUCUGCUGGGCCAUAACUGACGCUCAUGGACGAAAGCCAGGGGAGCGAAAGGGAUUAGAUACCCCUGUAGUCCUGGCCGUAAACGAUGAACACUAGGUGUCGGGGGAAUCGACCCCCUCGGUGUCGUAGCCAACGCGUUAAGUGUUCCGCCUGGGGAGUACGCACGCAAGUGUGAAACUCAAAGGAAUUGACGGGGGCCCGCACAAGCGGUGGAGUAUGUGGUUUAAUUCGAUGCAACGCGAAGAACCUUACCAGGGUUUGACAUCCUGCGAACCUCUUGGAAACGAGAGGGUGCCUUCGGGAGCGCAGUGACAGGUGGUGCAUGGCUGUCGUCAGCUCGUGUCGUGAGAUGUUGGGUUAAGUCCCGCAACGAGCGCAACCCACGUCUUUAGUUGCCAGCAUUUAGUUGGGCACUCUAGAGAGACCGCCGGUGAUAAACCGGAGGAAGGUGUGGAUGACGUCAAGUCAUCAUGCCCCUUACAUCCUGGGCUACACACGUACUACAAUGCUACGGACAAAGAGCAGCAAGUUCGCGAGGACAAGCAAAUCUCAUAAACCGUGGCUCAGUUCAGAUCGUAGGCUGCAACUCGCCUACGUGAAGGAGGAAUCGCUAGUAAUCGCAGGUCAGCAUACUGCGGUGAAUACGUUCCCGGGCCUUGUACACACCGCCCGUCACACCAUGGAAGUUGGCCACGCCCGAAGCCGUUACUCCAACCCUUGUGGAGGAGGACGUCGAAGGUGGGGCUGAUGACUGGGGUGAAGUCGUAACAAGGU
RNAcentral lists this ribosomal RNA (858 nucleotides) under uncultured bacterium. Its description in RNAcentral is "bacterial SSU rRNA". It matches the Rfam family "Bacterial small subunit ribosomal RNA", at positions 640 to 1497 of the family's 1533-position model. The record is from RNAcentral.